UAUAUAUAACUGUAUAAGUUGAAUACACUGAUACAAAAGUAAAUCUAACAGAUAAACAAAUUUGAUAACAUUGAUACUAGAAAUACAAUAAUGGAUUGAUACACUUAAAAAUAUAUUGAUACAAAAACAAAUACACAGAAAUUUACCCCAAAACACCAAAUAUAGAUCCAAAUCUUAAAAAGAUAAAAAACAAAUUGAAACACUUACCAUAAAAAUCUAUUAAGAAAUCAUUUGAUCUCACAAAAAUACAGAACACAUACCCGUCAUUAUAAUAUUUUGGUACAUCAAAGAUGAUCAAGAGGAACCAUGACGAGAUUAAACCAAAAAAUACAGAAUUUAGCUAUUGAUUCAUAUUGUAACAAAACACAAAUGUCUAUCUCAUGGCCAAACCCAAAUGGUAAUAGCGAAGACUCCGCUCUCCCAAGGCGAUAGGAUAUGAGAUCGCCCCUUUCGGAUUAAGCAGGAUUCUCAGAAGAAAAUCAACUGCAAACUCAACAAAAGGGACUUUGCUCUAUGAUGAUUUUUUAAACUUGGGUUAUACAAGCAACACAAAAGAACUUGUCCCAAUUCAAUGAAAAUCAUCACAUGAAAUGAAAAUCAAAUAAAACAAAAUCCAAUACUGAUAAAAAGAUUAGUUCUUUAAUAGAAUAUCAGCCACAACAGGAUAAUCUUCACUUGUCAAAAAGCAAGAGAAGACUUGAAAGGCAUGGUGGCUGUAAAUGUAGCUUAUGUUUAAUGUUAAGUACUGUUGUCAAAUUAUCUAAACAGCACUUGACCGUCCAUAAGCACAAAAACUUCUGAAAAUCCCAGAGAUUAAGCAUCUAAUUGGUUGAUUUUUUUUCUUCAAGUUGUGUUUUAAGGCUGUGAUUAGUUCAGAAACGAAGCGAAUAAUCUACUCCAAGAUUAGUCCUAGACUAAAGAUUUAACCAAUUUCAUGUGUUUUUUCAUCAACCAAUCUACAGCUAUACAAAGAAAAUAUUUAAGCAAAUAGGAAAAUGGCUUCAGAAUUGCAGAAUAAACAGCAAGGCCUAUGGGGCCAUUCAGUCCCGAAAGAUGG
This 1057-nucleotide unclassified non-coding RNA is filed under the name Hevea brasiliensis (rubber tree). Lineage: Eukaryota; Viridiplantae; Streptophyta; Magnoliopsida; Malpighiales; Euphorbiaceae. The record is from RNAcentral.